This 403-nucleotide ribosomal RNA is filed under the name uncultured bacterium. Its description in RNAcentral is "partial 16S ribosomal RNA". It matches the Rfam family "Bacterial small subunit ribosomal RNA", at positions 30 to 526 of the family's 1533-position model. The record is from RNAcentral.
AUUGAACGCUGGCGGCAGGCCGAACACAUGCAAGUCGAGCGAGCGGCGGACGGGUGAGUAAUGUAUGGGGACUGCCCGAUAGAGGGGGAUAACUACUGGAAACGGUGGUUAAUACCGCAUACUAUAGGGUAACCCAUAUGGGAUUAGCUAGUAGGUGGGGUAAAGGCUCACCUAGGCGACGAUGUCUAGCUGGUCUGAGAGGAGGAUCAGCCACACUCGGACUGAGACACGGCCCAGACGCCUGCGUAGGCAGCAGUGGGGAAUAUUGCACAAUGGGCGCAAGCCUGAUGCAGCCAUGCCGCGUGUAUGAAGAAGGCCUUCGGGUUGUAAAGUACUUUCAGUCGGGAGGCGUUACCGACAGAAGAAGCACCGGCUAACUCCGUGCCAGCAGCCGCGGUAAUAC